GCGGUUGUAGCUCAGCAGGUAGCGCGACGUCGCCAACGUCGAGGUCGCCGGUUCGAAACCGGCCAGCCGCUCCA
This 74-nucleotide transfer RNA is filed under the name Micromonospora sp. KC721. RNAcentral describes it as "tRNA-Gly". It matches the Rfam family "tRNA". From Rfam's summary of the family: Transfer RNA (tRNA) molecules are approximately 80 nucleotides in length. Their secondary structure includes four short double-helical elements and three loops (D, anti-codon, and T loops). Lineage: Bacteria; Bacillati; Actinomycetota; Actinomycetes; Micromonosporales; Micromonosporaceae. The record is from RNAcentral.